GGAAAAAAGGUCAAUCAAAGCACUGGAAAAAUAUUUUCAAGGAGGUAUCCAAAGAAAUCUCGGUUCCAAGAAAGCUCUUGACAAACGUCACUCAUCAGCUCAGUAAUUAGAGAUGAAAAUUGCACUUUGGGGAGGUGGGGACAGGCUGGAAUUGGUGUCAGGGCUCCCUGCCAGCCCCAGCCCCACGGGUGGACAGCCUGGGCAGCCAAACCCUGCUCUGGCCCCAGCCUGGGGAUCCACGGGGGCCAGGGAGGGCCAGUGAUGGCCAAAGGCACGGGACAUCCUGCCACCCCUGCCCACACCUCUGCCAGGCCAGUGGGGAGUUCUUAUCCCACGGGAUGUUCCCCCAAAUCAACAGCUGGGAUGGACCCGCAGGGACUGUCCCAUCCUGGAGAGACUGUCCCAUCCUGGAGGGACUGUCACAUCCUGGAGGGACUGUCACAUCCCACAGGUCCCAUCCUGGAGGGACUGUCCCAUCCUGGAGGGACUGUCACAUCCCACAGGACUGUCCCAUCCCGCAGGUCCCAUCCUGGAGGGACUGUCCCAUCCCACAGGUCCCAUCCCACAGGACUGUCCCAUCCCACAGGACUGUCCCAUCCCUCAGGACUGUCCCAUCCCACAGGGACUGUCCCAUCCCACAGGGACUGUCCCAUCCCACAGGUCCCAUCCCACAGGACUGUCCCAUCCCACAGGGACUGUCCCAUCACACAGGUCCCAUCCUGGAGGGACUGUCCCAUCCCUCAGGACUGUCCCAUCUUGGAGGGACUGUCCCAUCCUGGAAGGACUGUCACAUCCCACAGGUCCCAUCCCGCAGGACUGUCCCAUCCCUCAGGGACUGUCACAUCCCACAGGGACUGUCCCAUCCUGGAGGGACUGUCACAUCUCAGAGGUCCCAUCCUACAGGGACUGUCCCAUCCCACAGGUCCCAUCCCACAGGGACUGUCCCAUCCUGGAGGGACUGUCACAUCCCACAGAUCCCAUCCCACAGGACUGUCCCAUCCCACAGGUCCCAUCCCAGAGGGACUGUUCCAUCCUGGAGGGACUGUCCCAUCCUGGAGGGACUGUCCCAUCCCACAGGUCCCAUCCCGCAGGGACUGUCACAUCUCAGAGGUCCCAUCCUGGAGGGACUGUCCCAUCCCGCAGGUCCCAUCCCGCAGGGACUGUCACAUCCCACAGGGACUGUCCCAUCCCUCAGGUCCCAUCCCUCAGGCCUGUCCCAUCCCGGAGGGCU
This 1231-nucleotide long non-coding RNA is filed under the name Taeniopygia guttata (zebra finch). RNAcentral's name for it is "lncRNA (ENSTGUG00000021189.1)". The record is from RNAcentral. Lineage: Eukaryota; Metazoa; Chordata; Aves; Passeriformes; Estrildidae.